GGCUCAGGAUGAACGCUGGCGGCGUGCCUAACACAUGCAAGUCGAACGAAGAGGCCCCUUCGGGGGUACUUCAGUGGCGGACGGGUGAGUAACACGUAGGUGACCUGCCCCGAAGUGUGGAAUAACAGUCCGAAAGGAUUGCUAAUACCGCAUGUGGUCUGUGAGGUUAGAGUCUUGCAGACUAAAACAUACCCGCAAGGGUAAUGCGCUUCGGGAGGGGCCUGCGCCCCAUCAGCUAGUUGGUAGGGUAAUGGCCUACCAAGGCAACAACGGGUAGGGGGCCUGAGAGGGUGACCCCCCACAUUGGCACUGACACACGGGCCAAACUCCUACGGGAGGCAGCAGUGAGGAAUAUUGCUCAAUGGGCGAAAGCCUGAAGCAGCAACGCCGCGUGCGCGAUGAAGGCCUUCGGGUCGUAAAGCGCUUUUGAGAGGGACGAGAUAGGACGGUACCUCUCGAAUAAGUCACGGCUAACUACGUGCCAGCAGCCGCGGUAAAACGUAGGUGGCAAGCGUUAUCCGGAUUCACUGGGCGUAAAGCGCGUGCAGGUGGCUUCGUAAGUUGGACGUUAAAUCUCCCGGCCUAACCGGGAGGAGUCGUUCAAUACUGCGGGGCUGGAGGGCAGAAGAGGGGGGUGGAAUUGCUGGUGUAGUGGUGAAAUGCGUAGAUAUCAGCAGGAACACCCGUGGCGAAAGCGGCCCCCUGGUCUGCUCCUGACACUCAGACGCGAAAGCUAGGGGAGUGAACGGGAUUAGAAACCCCGGUAAUCCUAGCCGUAAACGAUGGAUGCUAGGUGUGGGUGGUAUUGACCCCAUCCGUGCCGAAGCUAACGCGUUAAGCAUCCCGCCUGGGGACUA
Molecule: ribosomal RNA, 857 nt
Filed under: uncultured bacterium
Lineage: Bacteria
Description: bacterial SSU rRNA
Rfam family: Bacterial small subunit ribosomal RNA
Source: RNAcentral